RNAcentral lists this long non-coding RNA (1731 nucleotides) under Lathyrus oleraceus (garden pea). RNAcentral's name for it is "Pisum sativum (pea) long non-coding RNA (PSAT_LNC039974)". The record is from RNAcentral. Lineage: Eukaryota; Viridiplantae; Streptophyta; Magnoliopsida; Fabales; Fabaceae.
UUAAUUUGAAUUGAUUUAUGCAUCUGAAUAUGAUCAAUGUUUACAAAAAAUGCAUGCCUAGAAUAGUAAUAGCAAUUACUACACGACUUCAGGAUCGAGGAGAAGGUCUAAUCACGCUUCCCCAAUGAAUCCGUUGCUAAUUCGAUUCCCCAGCAACGCCAGUUAUUCCCCAGAAGAAAUUGGCAUCACUAGACAAAUUGGUCAUCUCUUCUACCCCCGGCCAGGCUCUGUUAAAUAUCCCUGCCAUCAGACAGAAAUCAAAUACCCUCAGCUAAGAAAGGGUCAUCAAUACAAAUAUCUCCAACCAGAAGACUGAGAUUUAUUUCCCCAGUAGAGUCCCCUGGAAGAACGUUUCAGACACAUAGCGCAUUCAUUACAUCAUUGCAUAACAUAUACAUGCAUACAAUGUUCGCAUUUAUUUCAGACGCAUAAUUCACUCAUUACAUCAUUUCACAGCAUACGCCUGCAUACAUUGUUCGCAUUUAGUUUCAGAAGCAUUUAUUUCAGACGCAUAAUUCACUCAUUACAUCAUUUCACAGCAUACGCCUGCAUACAUUGUUCGCAUUUAGUUUCAGAAACAUAAAACAUCUCAUGCAUCAUGACAUAGCAUGAAGCUGACUUGAUUUUUCAGGUUAAUCGUCCUCCUGACACAGUCAAAGUAAAGAUCCAGUCAAACAGAUACUCCUAUUGAUUACAUUCAAGACAUUUGCUGCAAACACAACAAAUAUUGUCGGAUACAGCCUAACGUACGGUUCAUUCUGAUUCAGCUCAACAUGUGACUCCUUCAACUCAGAGACGAUCUAAUGUAUGAUCCAUUCGGACCUUCAAAUCCUCUGAUACUACCUAGCGUACGGCACAUUCCGAGGUGUAGUCUAGCAUACGACUACUUUCUUCUUCAGAUACAUCUUUCAGAUAUGCUCCAUGUCAACAUUCAUUCUGACACCCUCCUAACGAUGGCAUCUAUAAGCCCAUCCCAUACAUUUAUCGCAAAUACAGCAUACACAAAUACUAUCAGAUAUAGCCUAGCGCACGGUUCAUUCUGAUUCAGCUCAACAUAUGACUCCUUCAACUCAGAUACGGUCUAAUGUACGACCCAGUUAGACCUUCAUCUCCUCAGAUGCUACCUAGUGUACGGUACAUUUUUGAAGUGUAGUCUAGCAUAUGACUACCCCUUGUAUCAUCAGAUUCAGCCUAAUGGACGACUCAUUCUGCUCAGAUACGGUCUAAUGUACGACCCAGUUAGACCUUCAUCUCCUCAGAUGCUACCUAGUGUACGGUACAUUUCUGAAGUGUAGUCUAGCGAUACGGUCUAAUGUACGACCCAGUUAGACCUUCAUCUCCUCAGAUGCUACCUAGUGUACGGUACAUUUCUGAAGUGUAGUCUAGCGUACGACUACCCCCUUUUAUCAUCAGAUUCAGCCUAAUGGACGACUCAUUCUGCUCAGAUAUGCUCUAAUGUACGACCCAGUUAGACCUUCAUCUCCUCAGAUGCUACCUAGUGUACGGUACCUUUCUGAAGUGUAGUCUAGCGUACGAUUACCCCCUUUUAUCAUCAGAUUCAGCCUAAUGGACGGCUCAUUCUGCUCAGAUACGGUCUAAUGUACGACCCAGUUAGACCUUCAUCUCCUCAGAUGCUACCUAGUGUACGGUACAUUUCUGAAAUGUAGUCUAGCGUACGACUACCCCCUUUUAUCAUCAGAUUCAGCCUAAUGGACGGCUCAUUCUGCUCAG